GUGGUUGUGGCUCAGUGGUAGAGUGCUUGCCUAGCAUGUGUGAGGCACUGGGUUUGAUUCUCAGCACCACA
This 71-nucleotide transfer RNA is filed under the name Marmota marmota marmota (Alpine marmot). It matches the Rfam family "tRNA". From Rfam's summary of the family: Transfer RNA (tRNA) molecules are approximately 80 nucleotides in length. Their secondary structure includes four short double-helical elements and three loops (D, anti-codon, and T loops). Further hydrogen bonds mediate the characteristic L-shaped molecular structure. tRNAs have two regions of fundamental functional importance: the anti-codon, which is responsible for specific mRNA codon recognition, and the 3' end, to which the tRNAs corresponding amino acid is attached (by aminoacyl-tRNA synthetases). tRNAs cope with the degeneracy of the genetic code in two manners: having more than one tRNA (with a specific anti-codon) for a particular amino acid; and 'wobble' base-pairing, i.e. permitting non-standard base-pairing at the 3rd anti-codon position. RNAcentral also lists the same sequence under 1 other name. The record is from Rfam by way of RNAcentral. Lineage: Eukaryota; Metazoa; Chordata; Mammalia; Rodentia; Sciuridae.